Molecule: ribosomal RNA, 301 nt
Filed under: uncultured bacterium
Lineage: Bacteria
Description: partial 16S ribosomal RNA
Rfam family: Bacterial small subunit ribosomal RNA
Source: RNAcentral
CAGUAGCCACGGUAAUACGGAGGGUGCAAGCGUUAUCCGGAUUUAUUGGGUUUAAAGGGUCCGUAGGCGGACUUAUAAGUCAGUGGUGAAAGCCUGUCGCUUAACGAUAGAACUGCCAUUGAUACUGUAAGUCUUGAGUAUAUUUGAGGUAGCUGGAAUAAGUAGUGUAGCGGUGAAAUGCAUAGAUAUUACUUAGAACACCAAUUGCGAAGGCAGGUUACCAAGAUAUAACUGACGCUGAGGGACGAAAGCGUGGGUAGCGAACAGGAUUAGAUACCCCAGUAGUCCAUGUCUCUUAUAC